RNAcentral lists this ribosomal RNA (439 nucleotides) under uncultured bacterium. RNAcentral describes it as "bacterial SSU rRNA". It matches the Rfam family "Bacterial small subunit ribosomal RNA", at positions 954 to 1392 of the family's 1533-position model. The record is from RNAcentral.
GCAAAACGCGAAGAACCUUACCAGGUCUUGACAUCCCGCUGACCGCUCUAGAGAUAGAGUUUUCCCUUCGGGGACAGCGGUGACAGGUGGUGCAUGGUUGUCGUCAGCUCGUGUCGUGAGAUGUUGGGUUAAGUCCCGCAACGAGCGCAACCCUUGAUCUUAGUUGCCAGCAUUCAGUUGGGCACUCUAAGGUGACUGCCGGUGAUAAACCGGAGGAAGGUGGGGAUGACGUCAAAUCAUCAUGCCCCUUAUGACCUGGGCUACACACGUGCUACAAUGGACGGUACAGAGGGUCGCAACCCCGCGAGGGUGAGCAAAUCCCAUAAAACCGUUCUCAGUUCGGAUUGUAGGCUGCAACUCGCCUACAUGAAGCCGGAAUCGCUAGUAAUCGUGGAUCAGCAUGCCACGGUGAAUACGUUCCCGGGUCUUGUACACACCG